Saimiri boliviensis boliviensis (Bolivian squirrel monkey) is the source of this 4690-nucleotide non-coding RNA. Lineage: Eukaryota; Metazoa; Chordata; Mammalia; Primates; Cebidae. The record is from RefSeq and is a predicted model, not a curated record.
GCGUCGCGCGCGGUGGGGGCGGGGCAUGGCGCGCUGUGCGGCGCAGGGCGGCUGGCACAAACGGCGGCGCCGGGGCCGGAGGAAAAAGCUCGCCACCCUGAAGGGUCCCUUCCCAAGCCCUUAGGGACGGCGGAGGACUUGGGGACCUGCAAGCAAUCCCCGGGGCACGAGAAGAGCUCUCGCUGUUUGCCCUGCCUCACCCUGCCUCACGCCAGGCCCGGUGGCCCCCAGCUGCAUCAAGUGGAGGCGGAGGAGGGUGGCACCAUGGGCCCGGGCGGUGCCCUCCAUGCCCGGGGGAUGAAGACACUGCUGCCAUGGACAGCCCGUGCCAGCCGCAGCCCCUAAGUCAGGCUCUCCCUCAGUUACCGGGGUCUUCGUCAGAGUCCUUGGAGCCUGGCCGGGCCAGGAUGGGGGUGGAGAGUUACCUGCCCUGUCCUUUGCUCCCCUCCUACCACUGUCCAGGAGUGCCCAGUGAGGCCUCGGCAGGGAGUGGGACCCCCAGAGCCACAGCCACCUCUACCACUGCCAGCCCCCUUCGGGAGGGCUUUGGUGGGCAGGAUGGUGGUGAGCUGCGGCCGCUGCAGAGUGAAGGUGCCGCAGCGCUGGUCACCAAGGGGUGCCAGCGACUGGCAGCCCAGGGUGCUCGGCCUGAGGCCCCCAAACGGAAAUGGGCCGAGGAUGGUGGGGAUGCCCCUUCACCCAGCAAGCGACCCUGGGCCAGGCAAGAGAACCAGGAGGCAGAGCAGCGGGAGGGUGGUUUGAGCUGCGGCUGCAGCAGUGGCAGUGGUGAGGCCCGCGCUGGGCUGGUGGAGGAGGUGCUGCCCUCUGCGCCUGAGCGCCUGGCCCUGGACUAUAUCGUGCCCUGCAUGCGGUACUAUGGCAUCUGCGUCAAGGACAGCUUCCUGGGGGCAGCACUGGGUGGCCGCGUGCUGGCCGAGGUGGAGGCCCUCAAACGGGGUGGGCGCCUGCGAGAUGGGCAGCUGGUCAGCCAGCGGGCGAUCCCGCCGCGCAGCAUCCGUGGGGACCAGAUUGCCUGGGUGGAAGGCCAUGAGCCAGGCUGCCGAAGCAUCGGAGCCCUCAUGGCCCAUGUGGAUGCCGUCAUCCGCCACUGCGCAGGGCGGCUGGGCAGCUACGUCAUCAACGGGCGCACCAAGGCCAUGGUGGCGUGUUACCCAGGCAACGGGCUCGGGUACGUAAGGCAUGUUGACAAUCCCCACGGCGACGGACGCUGCAUCACCUGUAUCUAUUACCUGAAUCAGAACUGGGACGUUAAGGUGCAUGGAGGCCUGCUGCAGAUCUUCCCUGAGGGCCGGCCGGUGGUAGCCAACAUCGAGCCACUCUUUGACCGGUUGCUCAUUUUCUGGUCUGACCGGCGGAACCCCCACGAGGUGAAGCCAGCGUAUGCCACCAGGUACGCCAUCACUGUCUGGUAUUUUGAUGCCAAGGAGCGGGCAGCAGCCAAAGACAAGUAUCAGCUAGCAUCAGGACAGAAAGGUGUCCAAGUACCUGUAUCACAGCCGCCUACGCCCACCUAGUGGCCGGGUCCCAGAGCCGCAUGGCAGACAGCUUGCCCUGACUUCAGGAGAGCCCUGCGCUCGUGCUGGCCGCUCCUUCCCUGCCACCGCUGCUGCUUCUGACUCUGCCUCUGUCCUGCCUGGCAUGGAAGGCUCUGUCUGUCGCUGAGGACCAAGGAGCAGAAGAGACCUCUGCUGCCCCAUGAUGGGGGCUGGGGUUGUGACCGGGAUCGGGGGCAGCCUUGGAGGCCACCGUUACCAACUGAGGCUGGGGGCCUGGGUCCUACCCUGUCUGGUCAUGACCCCAUUAGGUGUGGAGAGCUGGGAGGAGGCAUUGUCACUUCCCACCAGGAGGCAGGAUUUGGGGUUGCGGGAUAACUGCUUCAGUCGGCACAGUGCACGCCCUCCCGUUCUGGCUGAUCUCGGAAUACACGCUUAUGCACCCGGGCCCCGAACAGGAUCCCCAGAGUCGGUGGGCACCUUGGGCAGAAAGUGGUCUCGCAGGUAGGUGUCGCGAAUGAGGGCGCGCGGCGGCACCACGCUGAUGAAGCGCUGGAUCUCAAGCAGCACUGCAUUGGUGUAGGGCAGGUGCACGUGGUCAUCCAGGCUUGGGGUGCGCAGCCGCCUUGCCACGGUGUCCAGCUCCAGUGCACCUUGUGGGAGGCCAGGGGAGGUUGUGAGCUGCGCACUUCGGGACCCUCCAGCCAUUCCCAAACCAUAGCCUCCCAUUCUGGGUCUCUCCAGCUGAAAACCUGCUCCCUCUGGGUACUUAAGUAGAAUAAGGAGCCCAUAGUGCAGGGUGGCGCUCGUGGUCUCGGUGCUAACAAAAAAAAAAAAAAAAAAAAAAAAAAAAAAAGGUGUAAUUAUCAGCGUCUCCUCCUGGAUCCGGCUGUUGCUGUGGGCAGAGGAGACACACUGUUGCGUGCUAGGCACUUGGUGGGCAGCAUCGACAGUUUAGGGAGCUGGGAUCCACAUAUAUCUUAGCUAUCUGGUCAAGGAAGCAAUCGAUGAAAUCGCAAGUCUCCACUGGCUGCCACAUCUGCCGGUGUCGCUGGAUUUGCUGAGAGAUGAAGACCUGCAGCUCCGAAGUUUCCGGAGAUUUAGGUGGUGCGGCCAGGGAGCCAGUCCAUGAGAGACGGGAAAAAUCAUCUGGAGAGACGGUCUCAACAAGGGCCCUGGAAGAAGCCACUAGGCCUUAGUUUCCUUAGACUAGGAAGAUUGGACCAGGACUUUGAUACUGGAGCUUCUAGAACUCUUCCAUUCCAAGAAUCUCACUGUCCCACUCUAAUGAUCCACUGUAGGUAGGUCUGCAUACUCGCGGUUUGGCAUAAGGCUGGACUCAAAAGGGAGAGACUGUGGCCAGCCCUCUCACGUGGCCCCGUCUGGAAAGCGUGAUGUGGAAGGUGUCAUUGAAGAGGUUCAAGAGCGUCAGAAACUCGGGGUCCCCAUAACUAAUAGUGGUUCCUGAAGACAAGAACAGAUGACAUUGAAUACAGCAUUAUCCAGAGGCCCAUGGGGUCAAGCCGGGCUCCUGAGGGUGGGAACAGGACGGUGGUCCUAACGUGUGGUCCGGCCCCCAGCCAGCUCCGCGGGCUUACUGGCUUGCUUAAAGCCACACACCUUUCAGUGGCCCCAUCUUGGCAGUCCAAGGGCCACACCCACACCAGGCCCUUCUGCUCUCCCGGCCAGGCCGCACCAAUGGUGGCUUGAAGAAGACCAGCCGCCGCCUCCAGGACGUGCGCCUCGAUGCUCCGCACACCCAAUCCGAAGUCCAGCGCUCCAAGCGCAAAAUUGCGUAGUGUCCGCCAGCGCGUCCUGUUAGAAAACAAGAUUCCUGUCGGGGUGACAGGAAAAGAGGCGGGCCCAGGAGUUGGCCACGCCCCAUCCAGGAAGUGCCGGGUCACUAGCUACAUCCCUUUCUGGGCCUCCGACCCCUGUGGCCGCCUUCCUUCGCUUUGCUCCUUUACCAGACCGCUAAGUGCCCUGUCCACGCGCUGGCCCCUCUGCUGGUCUCGAUCCCUGACCUGUACCCAGAGGCUCUCGGGCUUUGAGUCUUGGGCUCUUCUCUCUUCUCGGCUGCGGAAUGAAGCUGGGUUCGAACCUGCUUUAGCGCCUUCCCGCCCUCUCUGGGCGGUGGGCACCUGGUAGGCUGGAGUCUCUGUCAGGCCCUGCCUCCAUUUUCCCACGUCUACCUUUAGGGGCCCAUCCUGGAGCAUCCCGGCCAGGACGUCCAGCGCCGGGGCCUCACCGUUAACGCGUGUGAAGGUUCGAAGACGGCCAUGGACCUGCGGCCGGAAAAGGCAUCGGCCGGUAGCACCAACGCGUCCCGCAGCGCUGCAGAGCCGCACACACAGCGCCACUGCAGAGCGCGGGCCCCAGCGGCCGGAGAGCACCAGGGGCCGGUACUCAGCAGGAUCAUAGAGGACAAGCCCUCAGCUGUCUUCAUUCAGGAGGUGUUCUAGUCCCCAGCCCUGCCUCCAAGAAUCCAGAAUUCUGUUCCCCCAUUUCUGUGGGGUUACCUCCAGGAGUGCCCGGUCCAGGCCUCCAGACUACAGCAGCAAGAUUCCCAGCAAUGGGAGCGGCCUGGACCGGGGAGGUAGGGACCCCUGCAUCUGAGCGCCGCACCCACCUACCCCCACCAUGCCAGCGCCAGCACCAGAAGCCACAACAGCAGCGCCGAGAUCCCCCGAUCAUCAUGCCCGCAGUUCUCCACGCCUGCACCCCUUCACCUCUAUGUGAUUUCCAAGGGGUCUUAGGGGUGGAGACCCGAAGUGGGAGGAGUGGACGUCUCCUGGCUGCUCAUGCUGUGUAUUCCCCAACCUGAGGUCUCCACCCUGUCCCCAGCCCUAGUGGAACUAUGCCCUGGCUCCCCUGGCUUCUGUGUGUAUGUGCCUGCCUCAGCCUGUCCUACUUAGCAACUUUGGGGCCCCAGCGUUUUCAUGUCAACACAACCGGCCAACAGGUGCACCAUCCUGAGCCCUGAGCACCUUUGAGUCCAACUUAACUUGGCCUGUAGGUGUGUUCCUGCGCCACCUGUGGGCCCCCUGAAUGCUAUACCCAGUACCUCUGUUCAUGAAUACACGCUGACCUUCAAAUGCUACUAUUAACCCUCGUCCUCCUUUCUCCUUAUUUAUUUCCUUAUUUUAUUUUUUUAAUAAAAAAAAUAUGGAACGCUU